This 342-nucleotide ribosomal RNA is filed under the name Triticum aestivum (bread wheat). RNAcentral's name for it is "partial small subunit ribosomal RNA". The record is from RNAcentral. Lineage: Eukaryota; Viridiplantae; Streptophyta; Magnoliopsida; Poales; Poaceae.
AUGGAAGCAGAACUCACAGCACUAGAUACAGCUACGGUUGAAGCAGAUUGGCUUCGCCGGCUCUUGAAUGACUUGCCGGUUGUUGAGAAACCUGUACCGGGUAUCCUUAUGAACCGCGACAAUCAAACUGUGAUCACGAAAGUGAGCAGCUCAAAGGAUAACAUGAAGUCAUCAAGACACGUUCAGAGAAGGUUAAAGUCUGUCAGGAAAAUGAGAAACUCCGGAGUUAUUGCAUUGGAUUAUAUCCAAACGUCUAAAAAUCUGGCAGAUCCUUUUACUGGUCUAUCACGUAAUGUGAUAGAUAAUGCAUCGAGGGAGAUGGGUAUGAGACCCACAAUAUGA